RNAcentral lists this long non-coding RNA (199 nucleotides) under Elaeis guineensis (African oil palm). RNAcentral's name for it is "long non-coding RNA (EGUI_LNC009869)". The record is from RNAcentral. Lineage: Eukaryota; Viridiplantae; Streptophyta; Magnoliopsida; Arecales; Arecaceae.
UGGGUAGGUUCCUAAUCAAUUAUUUUUUUAAAUAAUUUUUAGCAAUUAGAUUUUGCCCCAGGCCUCUCUUCAGCGGGUGUGUGGUGCCUCCACUAAAAAUUUAGAUUAGAUCCAACCAUUAACAUGACUACACCAAGUGCAUCCAACAAAUGAACGUCCAAGCCCGAGUAUUGCUCGACCAACCUGAGUAUUGAUUUGA